UUGGGAGCUCACUGGCUUCGGAGUCCUGAGAACUCCGAAGUUAAGUGAGUUUGGGCUAGAGCAAUCCCAAGAUGGGUGACCAACUGGGAAGUUGCUCGUGAGCUCCUAAA
RNAcentral lists this ribosomal RNA (110 nucleotides) under Prunus dulcis (almond). The record is from RNAcentral. Lineage: Eukaryota; Viridiplantae; Streptophyta; Magnoliopsida; Rosales; Rosaceae.